Small nucleolar RNA from Benincasa hispida (wax gourd), 107 nucleotides. The record is from RefSeq and is a predicted model, not a curated record. Lineage: Eukaryota; Viridiplantae; Streptophyta; Magnoliopsida; Cucurbitales; Cucurbitaceae.
AAACCAUUAUGCGGCCAAUUUUUGACCAGCUUCUUAAACCUCUUCCAAGCUUCGCUCAACGUUUCUCGAUCUUUCUAUUGAAAAUUUGUGAUUUCUUGCCUCCUCUU